GACGAACGCUGGCGGCGUGCUUAACACAUGCAAGUCGAACGGAAAGGCCCUGCUUUUGUUGGGUGCUCGAGUGGCGAACGGGUGAGUAACACGUGAGUAACCUGCCCUUGACUUUGGGAUAACUUCAGGAAACUGGGGCUAAUACCGGAUAGGAUCUCCUGCUGCAUGUUGGGGGUUGGAAAGUUUCGGCGGUGGGGGAUGGACUCGCGGCUUAUCAGCUUGUUGGGGGGGUAGUGGCUUACCAAGGCUUUGACGGGUAGCCGGCCUGAGAGGGUGACCGGCCACAUUGGGACUGAGAUACGGCCCAGACUCCUACGGGAGGCAGCAGUGGGGAAUCUUGCACAAUGGGCGGCAGCCUGAUGCAGCAACGCCGCGUGCGGGAUGACGGCCUUCGGGUUGUAAACCGCUUUCGCCUGUGACGAAGCGUGAGUGACGGUAAUGGGUAAAGAAGCACCGGCUAACUACGUG
RNAcentral lists this ribosomal RNA (468 nucleotides) under uncultured bacterium. Its description in RNAcentral is "partial 16S ribosomal RNA". It matches the Rfam family "Bacterial small subunit ribosomal RNA", at positions 28 to 507 of the family's 1533-position model. The record is from RNAcentral.